RNAcentral lists this ribosomal RNA (253 nucleotides) under uncultured bacterium. Its description in RNAcentral is "partial 16S ribosomal RNA". It matches the Rfam family "Bacterial small subunit ribosomal RNA", at positions 524 to 776 of the family's 1533-position model. The record is from RNAcentral.
GACAGAGGGUGCAAACGUUGCUCGGAAUUACUGGGCGUAAAGCGCAUGUAGGCGGCUCCGUAAGUCGGAUGUGAAAGCCCUCGGCUUAACCGAGGAAGUGCAUUCGAUACUGCAGAGCUAGAGUAUCGGAGAGGGUCGUGGAAUUCCUGGUGUAGAGGUGAAAUUCGUAGAUAUCAGGAGGAACACCGGCGGCGAAGGCGGCGACCUGGACGAAUACUGACGCUCAGAUGCGAAAGCGUGGGUAGCAAACAGG